UGAGCAAAGUAUGCAGAAAAGAGGUGA
RNAcentral lists this non-coding RNA (27 nucleotides) under Mus musculus (house mouse). The record is from RNAcentral. Lineage: Eukaryota; Metazoa; Chordata; Mammalia; Rodentia; Muridae.